This 494-nucleotide ribosomal RNA is filed under the name uncultured bacterium. RNAcentral's name for it is "partial 16S ribosomal RNA". It matches the Rfam family "Bacterial small subunit ribosomal RNA", at positions 28 to 507 of the family's 1533-position model. The record is from RNAcentral.
GACGAACGCUGGCGGCGUGCUUAACACAUGCAAGUCGAACGGAAAGGCCUGCUUUCCCUUGUGGAUUGCGGGUACUCGCGUGGCGAACGGGUGAGUAACACGUGACUGUUCUGCCCCCAACUUGUGUAUAAGCCUGGGAAACUGCGUCUAAUUCCCGAUAGGACUGCAGGGUGGUGCCUGUGGUUGCGACCGAUUUUCUAGUGGUUGCGGAUGAGCUCGCGGCCUAGCAGCUUGUUGGUGGGGUAAUGGCCUACCAAGGCGGCGACGGGUAGCCGGCCUGGGAUGGUGGACGUGAGCGUUGGAACGGAGAUACGGCCCAGACGACUAGGGGAGGCAGCAGUGGGGAAGAAUGCACGAUGGGCGGUAGCCUGUGGCCGCGAGGCCGCGUCGGGAAUGACGGCCUUGGGAUUGUAGACUCCUUGUGGUCACGAGGAAGCCACCGGGUUGGAAGGUUGGUGACGGUAGUGGUAGAAGAAGCACCGGCUAACUACGUG